This 4598-nucleotide unclassified non-coding RNA is filed under the name Hevea brasiliensis (rubber tree). The record is from RNAcentral. Lineage: Eukaryota; Viridiplantae; Streptophyta; Magnoliopsida; Malpighiales; Euphorbiaceae.
GUCCAAGUCAACCAGAGAAGUGAGCGUGCAGAGACAAAGUACGGUAUAAUGUUGUAUUAGUUUGUUAUUUUCUAGUUAAACUACCGUAAACCCUAAAGAUUCAAAUACUCACCACUCUACCUGUCUCGCUCCGCAACCCUCACUCUGUCUGUGUCUCUCUGCCCCUCCUUAUUUUUUCUCUCUCUAAACUCGGAGACGCCCUUUCUGGUUACAGUUGAGCUCCAGCUAGGGUUUAGUUACCUCCAAGAUCAAUCUCGAUUUUUGAAUUUCGGGUUUGGAAUUCAAUUCUUAGUCCAGUUAUUGAUACUUAAUAUUCCGUCUAUGGAUCUCCCUAGCCUAGCUUUAAUCCUUCAAGCUGCCCUCAGCCCCAAUCCCGAUGAACGCAAAGCCGCCGAGCAAAACCUCAAUCAGUUCCAGUACACGCCUCAGCAUCUGGUGAGGUUGCUGCAGAUCAUCGUGGACAAUAAUUGCGAUAUGGCAGUGCGGCAAGUUGCUAGUAUUCAUUUCAAGAACUUCAUUGCAAAGAAUUGGGCACCUCAUGAGCCUGAUGAGCGAUCAAAGAUAUCGCAAAGUGAUAAGGAUAUGGUGAGGGAUCACAUCCUUCUGUUUGUUGUGCAGGUUCCUCCUUUGUUGAGGGUACAGUUGGGUGAGUGCCUCAAGACAAUUAUCCAUGCUGAUUACCCUGAGCAGUGGCCACGUCUUCUGGAUUGGAUCAAACAUAAUUUACAAGAUCAGCAAGUUUAUGGAGCUCUUUUUGUUUUGCGUAUUCUUUCUAGAAAAUAUGAGUUCAAGUCUGAUGAGGAGAGGACCCCUGUUUAUCGUAUUGUUGAGGAGACAUUCCCACACAUUCUCAGUAUUUUCAACAGGCUGGUCCAGAUUGCAAAUCCAUCAUUGGAAGUAGCAGAUUUGAUCAAGCUUAUUUGUAAAAUAUUCUGGUCAUCUAUAUAUUUGGAGAUUCCAAAACAGCUAUUUGAUCCAAAUGUCUUCAAUGCUUGGAUGAUUCUUUUCUUAAAUGUUUUGGAGAGGCCUGUUCCUGCAGAGGGUCAGCCUGUAGAUCAGGAGCUUAGGAAGUCAUGGGGUUGGUGGAAGGUGAAGAAAUGGACAGUUCACAUUUUGAACAGGCUGUACACUCGAUUUGGAGAUUUGAAACUCCAAAACCAAGAAAACAGAGCUUUUGCUCAAAUGUUUCAGAAGAAUUAUGCAGGGAAGAUUUUGGAGUGCCACUUGAAUUUGUUGAAUGUGGUACGUGUUGGUGGAUAUUUACCUGACAGAGUUACAAACCUAAUUCUGCAGUAUAUAAGUAACAGUAUAUCAAAGAAUAGCAUGUAUAAUCUCCUGCAGCCACGUCUUGAUGUGCUUCUUUUUGAGAUUGUUUUUCCUCUUAUGUGCUUCAAUGACAAUGAUCAAAAGCUUUGGGACGAAGACCCUCAUGAAUACGUCAGGAAAGGUUAUGAUAUUAUUGAGGAUUUGUACAGCCCGAGGACUGCUUCGAUGGAUUUUGUCAGUGAAUUGGUUAGAAAACGUGGGAAGGAGAACCUUCAAAAGUUUAUUCAAUUCAUUGUAGAAAUUUUUAAGAGGUAUGAUGAAGCACCAGUAGAAUAUAAACCCUAUCGACAAAAAGAUGGUGCUCUACUCGCUAUUGGAGCACUUUGUGAUAAACUGAAACAAACUGAACCCUACAAAUCUGAACUGGAGCGUAUGUUAGUGCAACAUGUUUUCCCUGAGUUUAGCAGCCCUGUUGGUCAUCUUAGAGCAAAGGCGGCUUGGGUUGCUGGACAAUAUGCUCACAUUAACUUCUCAGACCAGAACAAUUUCCUUAAAGCCUUGCACAGUGUUGUUUCUGGGCUACGUGAUCCAGAGCUUCCUGUUCGUGUUGAUUCAGUUUUUGCAUUGCGAAGCUUUGUUGAAGCUUGCAAGGAUUUAAAUGAAAUCCGCCCUAUUCUUCCUCAACUGCUUGAUGAGUUCUUUAAACUAAUGAAUGAGGUGGAGAAUGAGGACCUGGUUUUUACUCUGGAAACUAUAGUGGAUAAGUUUGGUGAGGAGAUGGCACCUUAUGCCCUAGGCUUAUGCCAGAAUUUGGCUGCUGCAUUUUGGAGGUGUAUGAACACUGCAGAAGCUGAUGAUGAAGCCGAUGAUCCUGGUGCUUUGGCAGCAGUUGGUUGUUUACGAGCUAUAAGCACAAUUCUUGAAUCAGUUAGCAGGCUUCCUCAACUUUUUGUCCAGAUUGAGCCAACUUUGCUGCCUAUAAUGCGUAAAAUGUUGACAACUGAUGGUCAAGAGUUGUUUGAAGAAGUUCUGGAAAUUGUUUCAUAUAUGACCUUUUUCUCUCCAACAAUAUCUCUGGAUAUGUGGAGUCUUUGGCCUUUGAUGAUAGAAGCAUUGGCAGAUUGGGCUAUUGACUUCUUUCCAAGUGCGUAUUCAGUAUUUCUGUGAAAUGCAACGAGUUAUUCCUCUGUUUGGGAUAUCUUUGCUGUUAUCGCUGUAAUUGGUGUUUUACACUUAGGUUGUUAUAUAUAUUGGAAUCACUUAUGGGGAAUUAACAAGAUAUAGUGGGGAAAUUAACUUGUGUGCACCUUUUUACCUCUUGAGGAAAGAAAAACUAAAUGCGAGUAUCUAUUGCACUGACUUAUAACUUGUAACGUUGUGAUUUACAGAACUUCUCCAGACUUUAUUUUCCUCGAAGAAACUUUUGUAUGUUGUUUCUCAUGACUCUCAAUUUCGAUGCAGAUAUUCUGGUUCCCUUGGACAACUACAUAUCAAGGGGAACUGCAAAUUUCCUCGCUUGCAAGGAUCCGGAUUACCAACAAAGCCUUUGGACUAUGAUUUCAUCUAUCAUGGCAGAUAGAAAUUUGGAGGACAAUGAUAUUGAGCCAGCACCAAAGCUGAUUGAAGUUGUUUUCCAGAAUUGUAAAGGUCAGGUGGAUCAGUGGGUUGAGCCAUAUCUGAGAAUCACUGUUGAGCGGUUGCAUCGAGCAGAAAAAUCAUACUUGAAAUGUCUUCUCAUUCAAGUGAUUGCAGAUGCCCUUUACUAUAAUGCAGCUUUGACGCUAAGCAUACUGCAAAAGCGUGGUGUUGCUGCUGAGAUUUUCAACCUUUGGUUCCAGAUGUUGCAACAAGUGAAAAAGAGUGGCGCACGUGCUAAUUUUAAGAGGGAGCAUGACAAAAAAGUUUGUUGCUUGGGGUUGACAUCACUACUUGCACUUCCUGCAACUCAAUUACCAGGAGAGGCCUUGGAGCGUGUUUUCAGGACCACUCUUGAUCUCCUAGUUGCAUAUAAGGAUCAAGUUGCAGAAGCUGCAAAGGCAGAAGAAGCUGAAGAUGAUGAUAUGGAUGGUUUCCAAACUGAUGAUGAAGAUGAUGUUGAAGGGUCUGACAAGGACAUGGGAGUUGAUACUGAGGAUGGAGAUGAAGCUGACAGCAUUAAACUUCAAAAGUUAGCCGCACAGGCAAAGGCUUUCCGUCCACAUGAUGAGGAUGAUGAGGACUCGGAUGAUGACUACAGCGAUGAUGAAGAGUUGCAAUCACCAAUUGACGAGGUGGAUCCUUUCGUUUUCUUUGUUGAUACUGUCAAAGCCAUUCAAGCAUCAGAUCCAUUGAGGUUCCAGAAUCUUACACAGACACUAGACUUCCAUCACCAAGCGCUUGCAAAUGGUGUUGCUCAGCAUGCUGAACAGAGGAGAGCAGAGAUCGAAAAGGAAAGAAUGGAGAAGGCAUCAGCUGCUGUUGCUUCAUAACUUAAAGUGGAUAUGAUGUGGCUCAAGUUUGCAUUGCUUUCACAUUCACUUCAUAUUCCAUUCAUUUAAGUUAUGUUAUGGAUGGAUGGAGAGUCAUUGCCAGUCUCUUAAGCGUAUUUAAUUGGUUCUACGGUCAUGGAGAGGUCAGUAGGCCCUGAAGGGUUUUUCAUGUUAAGAUUAUUGGUUCAAUACAUGCCUCAGUUCCCAUACGCUUAGUGGAUUGUGGGAUGGAGAACUUUGUGCUGUAAUUCUGCCAUGGUUUUGAGCCAUUCAUUUUUUUCCGAGUCUGGCCGAUUCUAUGUCAGAAGAGGCCUUUCUCACCAAGUCUGUGAUGUUAUUUUACUUUUUUUUUUUUCCUUUUGGUCCUUUUUUUGUGGGGGGGUCCUCUUGUUGUUUAUAGUGACGAUGUCUGUGUGGUUUGCCCACUGGCGAUAUUGGCAUGUUAUCCCCUGGACAUCGUGCUUUUUCGUGUUGUGAAAAGCAACUAGGGCUUCAGGCGUGGAGUAUAAGGUUUGGUAACGUCAGACGAAUGGAUAAAAUCAUUUGGUAUGGUGGAUGGAUGUAAUGAUAUUUUUUUGGUAAAGGGUAGCAGAUAUUCUUUUUGCAAAUUUUGUAAUGAGUAUAGUCUACGAAACACUGAAAAUAUUGGUUUAGUUUUGAGUUUUGGAGUUUUGGGUUUAUUGCCGGGGGGUUUCUAAGGGUAGCGUUUGCUACAGCUUGUAAAACAGUCGAUAUUCUUUUUAUAAUGUGGUUGAAUGAAGAGGUAGUAAUUGGUUUGUAUAGGAGUGCUUAGCAUUUAUCGUCUCUCUCUGAUUAUGCUUGCUUGUUGCUAAUUUAUCAUGCGUGUGUACGUGAAUAAAAGUU